GCAGCACCACCUGCCGUUGUACCCACCUCAGCAGCCAUGCAAUCCUCAUGGCCAGCUACGAUGUGCAGACUGAUUAGAAAGACCAUCUGAGCUACAGCCUCCUUCCCCAUGGACAAUCUGAACCGCCACUGGGUCACUUUUUAGCCAUUAGGACAGGACAAAGACUCUGUGCUGUGUGUUUCAAGAAAUCCAUGGUGUUGGCCAUGUGAAGGGAUUCUUGGAGGACAUGAUCAAAAUUCAACUCCUGGAGAACCUGAAAUGUGUCCAUGCCCCACCUGGUGCUGAGCAAACUUAACAUCCAGAUACCAUCUGCAGCCCAAUUCCUCAGUUUCUCUGUUAAACAUUCUUCUACUGCCCCCCCUUCCUGUGAGGCCUCUUCCAUGCAAAAAUUCUAGAAGCAAGAAAACCAGCCUCCCAGGAUGCUCACAUCCACAACAUUUAAAAGGAUUUGAAUGUGCUCUAAAGUCUUUAACAAAAGAAGAAGAAGAAGAAGAAGAAGAAGAAGAAGAAGAAGAAGAAGAAGAAGAAGAAGAAGAAAAGAAAACAUACAAGGUUUGUAUGGAAAUAUUGUGGUGUCUGCAAGGAAGAUGGCAUGCCCUAUGUGGGAUUUGGUAUUUUCAGGAUGUGGAAGGCUCCCAAGAAUGCCAUAUUCCACUUAAAUCUUUCAUAGUGGUGAAGCCGUGGCCAAAUUGCCAAGAAAAUAGAUCCCUGGAUAAUGUCAUGACAGAUGUGUUAGUGAAAUCAGAAAGAGGAGAUAAGACUGAGUAGACAGGGAGAUGGGCCUGGGUCACUUCCUGGGCAGUGAGUACAAACAGCACCUGCAGAUAUUUGCUAAGAAACUUACAAAAAGGCUAUUUUUAAGUCAGAACCUAUGUGACUCUGGUCCUUGCCUCUGCAAGGAAGAAAAAAUCCCUGAUUGAUAUAUUCACUGGACUAAAGGCUGCAUGGACACCCCAUGGACACUGUGUGCCAUGCCCAGCAGUGGGUAGGGAGUUGACUUCCUGAAACCUCUAGAUCUAUAUAAACCCCUACACAAUAACCACACUUCAGUGUCCUACUCUGGGACCCCUCCCUCUUGAGGAACCCUGCUUUCUAUUAUUCUAAUAAAUCCUGUUGCUCUGCUCUCA
Non-coding RNA from Marmota flaviventris (yellow-bellied marmot), 1127 nucleotides. The record is from RefSeq and is a predicted model, not a curated record. Lineage: Eukaryota; Metazoa; Chordata; Mammalia; Rodentia; Sciuridae.